This 509-nucleotide ribosomal RNA is filed under the name uncultured bacterium. RNAcentral's name for it is "bacterial SSU rRNA". It matches the Rfam family "Bacterial small subunit ribosomal RNA", at positions 19 to 518 of the family's 1533-position model. The record is from RNAcentral.
CUGGCUCAGGAUGAACGCUAGCUACAGGCUUAACACAUGCAAGUCGAGGGGCAGCAUGGGAUUAGCUUGCUAAUCCUGAUGGCGACCGGCGCACGGGUGAGUAACGCGUAUCCAACCUUCCCCUUACUCAGGGAUAGCCCGGUGAAAACCGGAUUAACACCUGAUGGUUUCAUUAGAUGGCAUCUGACGAUGAAUAAAGGCUACGGUAAGAGAUGGGGAUGCGUCUGAUUAGCUUGUUGGCGGGGUAACGGCCCACCAAGGCUACGAUCAGUAGGGGUUCUGAGAGGAAGGUCCCCCACAUUGGAACUGAGACACGGUCCAAACUCCUACGGGAGGCAGCAGUGAGGAAUAUUGGUCAAUGGGCGAGAGCCUGAACCAGCCAAGUAGCGUGCCAGGAAGACGGCCCUAUGGGUUGUAAACUGCUUUUGUACGGGAAUAAAGUCAUCCACGUGUGGAUGUUUGCAUGUACCGUAAGAAUAAGGACCGGCUAAUUCCGUGCCAGCAGCAGC